Molecule: ribosomal RNA, 524 nt
Filed under: uncultured bacterium
Lineage: Bacteria
Description: partial 16S ribosomal RNA
Rfam family: Bacterial small subunit ribosomal RNA
Source: RNAcentral
GACGAACGCUGGCGGCGUGCCUAAUACAUGCAAGUCGAGCGCAGGAAACUGACGGAACUCUUCGGAGGGAAGGCAGCGGAAUGAGCGGCGGACGGGUGAGUAACACGUAAGGAACCUGCCUCAAGGAUUGGGAUAACUCCGAGAAAUCGGAGCUAAUACCGGAUAGUUCAACGGACCGCAUGGUCCGCUGAUGAAAGGCGCUCCGGCGUCACCUUGAGAUGGCCUUGCGGUGCAUUAGCUAGUUGGUGGGGUAACGGCCCACCAAGGCGACGAUGCAUAGCCGACCUGAGAGGGUGAUCGGCCACACUGGGACUGAGACACGGCCCAGACUCCUACGGGAGGCAGCAGUAGGGAAUCUUCCACAAUGGACGAAAGUCUGAUGGAGCAACGCCGCGUGAGUGAUGAAGGUUUUCGGAUCGUAAAACUCUGUUGUAAGGGAAGAACACGUACGAGAGGAAAUGCUCGUACCUUGACGGUACCUUACGAGAAAGCCACGGCUAACUACGUGCCAGCCGCCGCCGUAA